CCUACGGGUUGCAGCAGUGGGGAAUAUUGCACAAUGGGGGAAACCCUGAUGCAGCCAUGCCGCGUGUGUGAAGAAGGCCUUCGGGUUGUAAGGCACUUUCAGCGGGGAGGAAGGCGAUAAGGUUAAUAACCUUGUCGAUUGACGUUACCCGCAGAAGAAGCACCGGCUAACUCCGUGCCAGCAGCCGCGGUAAUACGGAGGGUGCAAGCGUUAAUCGGAAUUACUGGGCGUAAAGCGCACGCAGGCGGUCUGUCAAGUCGGAUGUGAAAUCCCCGGGCUCAACCUGGGAACUGCAUUCGAAACUGGCAGGCUAGAGUCUUGUAGAGGGGGGUAGAAUUCCAGGUGUAGCGGUGAAAUGCGUAGAGAUCUGGAGGAAUACCGGUGGCGAAGGCGGCCCCCUGGACGAAGACUGACGCUCAGGUGCGAAAGCGUGGGGAGCAAACAGGAUUAGAUACCCGGGUAGUC
RNAcentral lists this ribosomal RNA (465 nucleotides) under uncultured bacterium. RNAcentral describes it as "bacterial SSU rRNA". It matches the Rfam family "Bacterial small subunit ribosomal RNA", at positions 338 to 795 of the family's 1533-position model. The record is from RNAcentral.